UUGGCCUACGGGACGCAGCAGUGGGGAAUAUUGCACAAUGGGGGAAACCCUGAUGCAGCAACGCCGCGUGGGUGAAGGAGCGUUUCGGCGCGUAAAGCCCUGUCAGCGGGGAAGAAGAAAGACGGUACCCGACCAAGAAGCCCCGGCUAACUACGUGCCAGCAGCCGCGGUAAUACGUAGGGGGCGAGCGUUAUCCGGAUUUACUGGGUGUAAAGGGAGCGUAGACGGCUGUGCAAGUCUGAAGUGAAAUGCCGGGGCUCAACCCCGGAACUGCUUUGGAAACUGUACAGCUAGAGUGCAGGAGG
RNAcentral lists this ribosomal RNA (305 nucleotides) under uncultured bacterium. Its description in RNAcentral is "bacterial SSU rRNA". It matches the Rfam family "Bacterial small subunit ribosomal RNA", at positions 334 to 655 of the family's 1533-position model. The record is from RNAcentral.